This 505-nucleotide ribosomal RNA is filed under the name uncultured bacterium. RNAcentral's name for it is "bacterial SSU rRNA". It matches the Rfam family "Bacterial small subunit ribosomal RNA", at positions 28 to 524 of the family's 1533-position model. The record is from RNAcentral.
GAUGAACGCUAGCUACAGGCUUAACACAUGCAAGUCGAGGGGCAGCAUGAACUUAGCUUGCUAAGUUUGAUGGCGACCGGCGCACGGGUGAGUAACACGUAUCCAACCUGCCGAUGACUCGGGGAUAGCCUUUCGAAAGAAAGAUUAAUACCCGAUGGCAUAGUUCUUCCGCAUGGUAGAACUAUUAAAGAAUUUCGGUCAUCGAUGGGGAUGCGUUCCAUUAGGUUGUUGGCGGGGUAACGGCCCACCAAGCCUUCGAUGGAUAGGGGUUCUGAGAGGAAGGUCCCCCACAUUGGAACUGAGACACGGUCCAAACUCCUACGGGAGGCAGCAGUGAGGAAUAUUGGUCAAUGGACGGGAGUCUGAACCAGCCAAGUAGCGUGCAGGAUGACGGCCCUAUGGGUUGUAAACUGCUUUAUAGGGGGAUAAAGUGUGCCACGUGUGGCAUAUUGCAGGUACCCUAUGAAUAAGGACCGGCUAAUUCCGUGCCAGCCGCCGCCGUAAG